Molecule: transfer RNA, 72 nt
Filed under: Oreaster reticulatus
Lineage: Eukaryota; Metazoa; Echinodermata; Asteroidea; Valvatida; Oreasteridae
Description: tRNA-Leu
Source: RNAcentral
AGUUAGAGGGAGGAUUCGAACCUCCGAUACUAGAUCCUAAAUCUAAAGCAGUAACCCCUUUGCUACCCUAAC